CUCCGGAUCAAAGGUGAGAUUCCGCCGGAGGAGGGGUCCGCGUCCUAUUACUAGUUGGUGAGGUAACGGCUCACCAAGGCGAAGAUGGGUACGGGAUGUGGAGCAUAAUCCCGCUCAUUGGGACUGAGACACUGCCCAGACACCUACGGUGGCUGCAGUCGAGAAUCUUCGGCAAUGGGGGAAACCCUGACCGAGCGAGCCGCGUGCGAGAUGAAGGCCUUCGGGUUGUAAAUCGCUGUCGUAGGGGGGAAAUAUUGGUGGGUUCUCCCAUCAGUUUGACCUAUCCUAGGAGGAAGACGGGCUAAGUUCGUGCCAGCAGCCGCGGUAAGACGAACCGUCCAAACGUAUUCGGAAUCACUGGGCUUAAAGGGUGCGUAGGCGGUCCGGGAAGUUGGUGUGAAAGCCCUCGGCUCAACCGAGGAACUGCGCCCAAAACUGCCGGGCUGAGGGAGACAUAGGUGAGCGGAACCUAGGGUGGAGCGGUGAAAUGCGUGAGAUCCUA
Molecule: ribosomal RNA, 502 nt
Filed under: uncultured bacterium
Lineage: Bacteria
Description: bacterial SSU rRNA
Rfam family: Bacterial small subunit ribosomal RNA
Source: RNAcentral